UAGGGAAUCUUCCACAAUGGACGAAAGUCUGAUGGAGCAACGCCGCGUGAGUGAAGAAGGUUUCGGAUCGUAAAGCUCUGUUGUUGGUGAAGAAGGAUAGAGGCAGUAACUGGUCUUUAUUUGACGGUAAUCAACCAGAAGUCACGGCUAACUACGUGCCAC
Molecule: ribosomal RNA, 162 nt
Filed under: uncultured bacterium
Lineage: Bacteria
Description: partial 16S rRNA
Rfam family: Bacterial small subunit ribosomal RNA
Source: RNAcentral